Molecule: long non-coding RNA, 312 nt
Filed under: Phaseolus vulgaris (common bean)
Lineage: Eukaryota; Viridiplantae; Streptophyta; Magnoliopsida; Fabales; Fabaceae
Description: long non-coding RNA (PVUL_LNC001855)
Source: RNAcentral
AAAUGGGCCAGAGAAGAGUUGAAAGAUUUGAAAGAAGAGAUGAAAAAAGAGUUGAAAAAAGAAGUGAUAGAAGAGAUGGAAGGCUAGAAAGAAGAGGUGAUAGGGAUCAUCAAAACACUCAGUCAGUAAGGCGGAGUAGGGAACGAAGUCUGGGUAGACCGGUCAGAGGAUUUAUAAACACGAUUUCAGGAGGUUUUUCAGGAAAGGAAUCCUCAUCAGCAAGAAAACAACAUUGGAGAAGCAUCAGAACAAUUAAUCAUAUUUUCAAAAGAAGAACCCUGCCACCAAUGCUUUUCACAGAUGAAGAUUUUC